ACACAAUCAUUUCCUCUUAAUCUUUUCUAAAUCCCUCCAACGGAUUUUAGGCGACAGUUAAGUCGGGGAACUCUAGAAUACGCCCUCUUCUCUCGCGCCCUUGCACAAUUCCGGUUCCGUUCAACGAAUUGAUUUAGAAGGUGACGGUGGUUGCGAUGAGUUUGUAAGUUCAGCAAGAUCACUUUCUUCGAAAGGUGCAGGAAAGUUGAGAUCGAACGGAAAAUGAUAGGAAGGUUGUGUCGAUUGUGGUGAGUUUCGAAUUAUGGGUUGCACGACUGUCCUGUAUCUUUUCAUAUGACCACCUAGCGCUUGGCCAGAAAUGAAUUUAAUUCCAUAGACUGAGCAUGCGUAACCUUUUUCCUUUUUAAUAACGAUAUCACAGUCGCUAGAAAGAGGCAUUGAAGAUAAUCCCAUAACAUAAAAGAACUUCCCAGACUUAUAUCGAGAUUACAACCUUCGUUGUCGAUGAAUCUACUCAGAUUGAAGGUGUUGUGAGCAUACGGAUGAUAUGGUAUUGAUCCUGUCGUUGUUUUAGACUUCUUGUGCCGAUGAUCGUCUAGGGCUUGGAGAGUUAAAAAUCUUUUGUUGCAGGUCAUGCAUUCGUAUCUAUAGAUAUUUUCUAAUUUUGCUUUCCUAUUUUCUAUAAUCGAAUCAUCGCCGAUUGUUUCAUUUCUUGAAAAGAGCAUCUGAUUUUGGGCAUCUCCUCUCGUUUUCAAGAUUUUCAUCUUUGGUUGUUUGUGAAGGACAACAACACCUUCCAUUGACAACUCCUCAUCUUCUGUCAAAAAUAAUGACAUCGAAAUAUAGUGUUGGUUAGAAUAUUCUGGAUAAAUAUUCUUCCUCUAUGGAUUCAUCAUCGAAUCAGACUGGUCAUCUUUAUGCUGAUUGUGUUGAUUAUGUUGUUGAUGAUGAUGCCGUUGGUUACUACCAUUGUUUUCUUGAAGAUUAUCCAUGGGAUCAACAAGGUGUGUUGGGAUGUAUAUAUCGAUAUUAAAUAAGAAAUACGAUGAUCAAGAAGUCGGGUCAAUAGGAUAAUGAUAGGUUUAUUUCCCAAUGCGGUUGUCGAUUGCAGCCUAUUGUGUCCAGAAGAUCACCGGAAUGACCCAGAGAGUCAGCGAGUGUAAAAGAAGGCAGAAACAAGGGUUUCUUAACUUAACCUUUGGUGAAAUGAUUUGUUUCAAUGUAAUAAAUGUGUUUAGUUUCAAUGUAAUAAAUGUGUUUAGUUUCAAUGUAAUUGAAUUAAAUGAUAUUGUUUACAAAGUAGUUUAUUUAUAACACACUUAGCGCUAAUUACCAAUC
RNAcentral lists this long non-coding RNA (1299 nucleotides) under Zostera marina. Its description in RNAcentral is "long non-coding RNA (ZMAR_LNC004989)". The record is from RNAcentral. Lineage: Eukaryota; Viridiplantae; Streptophyta; Magnoliopsida; Alismatales; Zosteraceae.